RNAcentral lists this ribosomal RNA (494 nucleotides) under uncultured bacterium. RNAcentral's name for it is "partial 16S ribosomal RNA". It matches the Rfam family "Bacterial small subunit ribosomal RNA", at positions 28 to 507 of the family's 1533-position model. The record is from RNAcentral.
GACGAACGCUGGCGGCGUGCUUAACACAUGCAAGUCGAACGGAAAGGCCUGCUUUCCCUUGUGGAUUGCGGGUACUCGAGUGGCGAACGGGUGAGUAACACGUGAGUGAUCUGCCCCCAACUUGGGUAUAAGCCUGGGAAACUGGGUCUAAUUCCCGAUAGGACUGCAGGGUGGUGCCUGUGGUGGAAAACGAUUUUCUAGUGGUUGGGGAUGAGCUCGCGGCCUAUCAGCUUGUUGGUGGGGUAAUGGCCUACCAAGGCGGCGACGGGUAGCCGGCCUGAGAGGGUGGACGGCCACAUUGGGACUGAGAUACGGCCCAGACUCCUACGGGAGGCAGCAGUGGGGAAUAUGGCACAAUGGGCGGAAGCCUGAUGCAGCGACGCCGCGGGGGGGAUGACGGCCUUCGGGUUGUAAACUCCUUUCGACCGCGAGGAAGCCACCUGGUUGGAAGGGUGGUGACGGUAGUGGGAGAAGAAGCACCGGCUAACUACGUG